RNAcentral lists this ribosomal RNA (1439 nucleotides) under Ancrocorticia populi. Its description in RNAcentral is "16S ribosomal RNA". It matches the Rfam family "Bacterial small subunit ribosomal RNA". The record is from RNAcentral. Lineage: Bacteria; Bacillati; Actinomycetota; Actinomycetes; Actinomycetales; Actinomycetaceae.
CAUGCAAGUCGAACGAUGAAGCUCCUGCUUGCUGGGGUGGAUGAGUGGCGAACGGGUGAGUAAUGCGUGAGUGACCUGCCCCCUUCUUCGGGAUAAGCCUUGGAAACGGGGUCUAAUACCGGAUAUUCCCAUCACGGGGCAUCUUGUGGUGGGGAAAGUUUUUUCGGUGGGGGAUGGGCUCGCGUCCUAUCAGCUUGUUGGUGGGGUGAUGGCCUACCAAGGCGUCGACGGGUAGCCGGCCUGAGAGGGUGACCGGCCACACUGGGACUGAGAUACGGCCCAGACUCCUACGGGAGGCAGCAGUGGGGGAUAUUGCACAAUGGGCGCAAGCCUGAUGCAGCGACGCCGCGUGAGGGAUGAAGGCUUUCGGGUUGUAAACCUCUUUUACUAUUGAACAAGGCGCCAUUUUUGUGGUGUUGAGGGUAGGUGGUGAAUAAGCGCCGGCUAACUACGUGCCAGCAGCCGCGGUAAUACGUAGGGCGCGAGCGUUGUCCGGAAUUAUUGGGCGUAAAGAGCUCGUAGGCGGCUUGUCGCGUCUGCUGUGAAAUCCUGGGGCUUAACUCUGGGCGUGCAGUGGGUACGGGCAGGCUAGAGUGCGGUAGGGGUGAUUGGAAUUCCUGGUGUAGCGGUGGAAUGCGCAGAUAUCAGGAGGAACACCGAUGGCGAAGGCAGGUCACUGGGCCGUUACUGACGCUGAGGAGCGAAAGCAUGGGGAGCGAACAGGAUUAGAUACCCUGGUAGUCCAUGCUGUAAACGUUGGGCACUAGGUGUGGGGGGCCUUUCCGGGUUUUCUGCGCCGUAGCUAACGCAUUAAGUGCCCCGCCUGGGGAGUACGGCCGCAAGGCUAAAACUCAAAGGAAUUGACGGGGGCCCGCACAAGCGGCGGAGCAUGCGGAUUAAUUCGAUGCAACGCGAAGAACCUUACCAAGGCUUGACAUACACCGGAAUCAUGCAGAGAUGUGUGAGUCUUCGGACUGGUGUACAGGUGGUGCAUGGUUGUCGUCAGCUCGUGUCGUGAGAUGUUGGGUUAAGUCCCGCAACGAGCGCAACCCUUGUCUCGUGUUGCCAGCAUUUGGUUGGGGACUCACGGGAGACUGCCGGGGUUAACUCGGAGGAAGGUGGGGAUGACGUCAAAUCAUCAUGCCCCUUAUGUCUUGGGCUUCACGCAUGCUACAAUGGCCGGUACAGAGGGUUGCGAUACUGUAAGGUGGAGCGAAUCCUUAAAGCUGGUCUCAGUUCGGAUUGGGGUCUGCAACUCGGCCCCAUGAAGUCGGAGUCGCUAGUAAUCGCAGAUCAGCAACGCUGCGGUGAAUACGUUCUCGGGCCUUGUACACACCGCCCGUCACGUCACGAAAGUUGGCAACACCCGAAGCCUAUGGCCUAACCGGUUUUUCCGGGGGGAGUGGUCGAUAGGUGGGGUUGGCGAUUGGGACGGAAAG